Molecule: long non-coding RNA, 1452 nt
Organism: Tigriopus californicus
Lineage: Eukaryota; Metazoa; Arthropoda; Copepoda; Harpacticoida; Harpacticidae
Exons: 3
Source: RefSeq, a predicted model, not a curated record
AGCCCACUAAUAUUAAAACCAGACUUUUCAGCACAUGCAAACUCAUGAAGUAAGGUUUUUGAUGCGGAACACCAAGCAGUGGAUAGAAGGGACCGUCUUGGACGUGUCAAGUAUGAUUAAAGCAUGGCCAAGUCUUGCUCUUAAUUCAAUACAGCUUUUUGUGCUGAUUCGCUCUGAUCGGAAUGUGAGCUAUUUAAAGUGGAACCUCGUAAUGAUCUCUUGUCCAUCCAGUUACGAGUAUCUCUCAUUCUUUCUUUCUCUUUCUUUCUUUCUUUCUUUCUUACGUUCGUUCAGUCUCUCUCUCUGUCGCUCUGUCUCUACUGGGUUUAUCCAUCGUUCCCGUCCAAGAAAUGUCGUUCGCGUUUUGAAAAGCCAUGCUUCAACCCCUCUCGCAAUACUCAGGUUGCCAUGGACCAGUCGUAUUACAUCGUCAGCCAUUGUAUUCGUUAUGUGAGGAAAACGUCCCUGAGAAUUGACGAGUAUUGACUGUAAAAUGAGGGGAGGUGAUUUGGACCAGUUCGGUUACAAUGGUCAAUGAAAGAUGGUUUUGAAUGGCUCACAGAUCUCUUCGGAAUACCUGGACACCGUCCGAAGAGUACAUAUCCGACUACAAAAGCGAAGAAAGGUGGGGUGUUCUAGGAAUCCAAGUGAGUAGAAACUCUGCUAAAUCGCUGCAACAAAGGGGUUUCAUGGACCCUAAAACAGAUCGGGAAGCCAACUUCAGCUAACUUUCAAGUUGUCGAAUGAUUAUUGUAUGGAAUGGACAUCUUGAUCCCAUGGCCCAUGAUUGGUAAUGCGCUAAGACGAAGGAUUCGGGUGUUUUAUGUAGAUCAAAACCCAAGGCCUCUGUGGAUUGUGGUCGGUUGGUGAGCUUAUCGGAACCCAGUUCUGCAGAAUCGAUUCGGAUGAGCAAGAAUGUUAGAUAUGAGUGUCACCUAACUGAUCCACAUUGUCGGCAUAUCUAAGGAACCCCGGGAAAAACCGUUCGCUAAAAUGAAUGUCACCUCGUCGGGGUUGGACGUUAAUGAUGACAUUAUGGGUUCAAACGGGUCUUUCGGGCUUUUUUCGUUAGCCGAUCCUUUUGUUCUGCGUGUCAAAAGCUGCGUGAGAAAAAUGGACUCACAAAUAUCACCUGGAAAACACUUCUCAAGUGUUAUCUUUACUUUCGUUGUCGAGUGAGCACCCACUCUUCUCGUUCUUUUUUUUGUUUUCAGGUGGAAAAUGCUCAAGAGCUCGUGCCCAUCUCAUGAUUUCCCUUCAAAUAUUUUUCAUGCAUUCAAAAUGAGAAUAUCUUUCCUCUCCCCUUUCCAUCCCAAUUACACCUGUAUUCAUCAAGGAUUGUUCAAAACCAUACCUUUUAUUGCAAACUUGGACCUCUUUUCUCUUAGGUGCGAUACAGUUAAAUAAGUUUUCGCUCAUGGAUGUAAAUUACACGAGUAUACUUCCUGGCAG